Arvicola amphibius (Eurasian water vole) is the source of this 1626-nucleotide long non-coding RNA. RefSeq lists it as uncharacterized. The transcript is spliced from 3 exons. The record is from RefSeq and is a predicted model, not a curated record. Lineage: Eukaryota; Metazoa; Chordata; Mammalia; Rodentia; Cricetidae.
CUCAGAGUGUGGGGUGUCAAGUGCUUGUGUGUGUCUUCCGAUCGUCCUCCAUCUUCCGCGCUAUUCCCCGCCCGGAUUAGUUCGGGAUGUCCAUGGCGGUGUUGUUGGCAAAGGGCCGCCUUCGCGGCGGCUAACAGCCAGGACGGAGGAUCGGGGAGCGCUUGCGUCCGCGCACAUCGCCCGCCCCCGGCCGCUCGGCACUUUCUUAAGGCUUCCCUCACAGUUGGCUUGGGACAAUGGAGGGGCCGCUCCCCCUCCGAGACCUCGGAAGGUAUGAACCCUACUAUCUCAAUUUUUCAAGAUAGAGGAAUUGACACAUAAAGAUUGUCUAGUGUCACGCCACUCUUAAGUGAUGCAACUGAGAGCCAAGCAUAGACAAGGAACCGUGUUAACCAUUCUCCCAUGCCGUCUGCUGUAGAUCAGGCCAUGUCUUCAAGUGUAUCCAGAAGAUAUUCCAAGAAAGACCCUGAUCCAUCCUUGAACAUUUCAAACAUUUUGGUGAAUCUCCUUAUUCAGCUGUCAAGAGGCCUUCUAUUAAGUCAAUGACUAUAUCUUGAUCACAUGUCUUAAUAUUCAUAAAUGUAUGGCAAGCCGACUGCCUGUAGCUGACUGAUAGAAUUUAUGUUCUACCCUUAAUGUGCAAUGUAGACUAUUUCUACUUCUCAAAGAAUGUACACUGAGGUCUUUACAAUUCAAUACUCAUCAAAAAGCUCAAUAACAUUUAUGGAGAGCUGUCUGAUAGGUACAUAGCUAUUUUCCCCUCUAGUUCAGGGUCAGCAAAUAUACAAUACUGCUCUUGCUACUCUCUUUUCCAAGCCGCUGGCCAACUUUAAUCCAUAACCCCUUUCUUAAACUGAGUUUAAACUCUUGCUCAAACACAAUUCUCUCUGACUAGUGCUUCAGGCAGCCAUUGGCAUCUCAUCAGCAUUGGCAUGCAACAUGAAAUCCAUUUGCUAUUUCACCUCUGGAUAGUCUUAAAAGCCAAACUGUCAGAAAGCCAUGAACUUGAAAUUCAUCAUUUUGUCCCUUUGUAAGAUUCUUUCCUAGAAUUGCUCUGUGGACUUAUGUCAUCAGCCUACAUUACAAUCAUAAGAAAACCUCUUAUAAAUGCAUCAUAGUUACUGUAGGGGUGUUUUUGGAGUGCCUGUCUUCUGAGGAUUUCUUUUUAACAUUGAAGGACAGAGGGUUAAGUAGCACACCUAAAUUCACUCAGUGAAGGGGGAGACAGAAAUUGAAGCAAAGAUUGCUAGAUUGCAUAUCUUUUCCUCUGUUCUGUGUGUCCUUAGACCUGCUCCCACCCAUCUCCCCAACCUGUCUUCCUCUGCUGACUUAUGCAAGCAGCAUUUUACCUUGUUUGCAUGCACUGAAGUACCUGUUCUAUUGAUUCAAUUUUUGCCCCUCCUCGAUUUUCCUUGCCUCUUCCUAUCCUUCCUUAGAAACAUUUUCUAGAUAAACUCCCCCUGCAUUUACUCAUCAACUUACUACAGUCUAAAUCUGCUCCAAUCGUUUUCCUGGAAUUACUUUAUUGGAAGUCACUGAUGACCUCCUAACUGCCAAAUCUGAUGACAUCUUCAGUCCUCAUCUUGGCCCAUCUCUCAGCAAUUUGACAAUGUUGAUCACUCCCUU